Molecule: ribosomal RNA, 794 nt
Filed under: Chloropicon roscoffensis
Lineage: Eukaryota; Viridiplantae; Chlorophyta; Chloropicophyceae; Chloropicales; Chloropicaceae
Description: bacterial SSU rRNA
Rfam family: Bacterial small subunit ribosomal RNA
Source: RNAcentral
CUAACUCCGUGCCAGCAGCCGCGGUAAGACGGGGGAUGCAAGCGUUAUUCGGAAUUAUUGGGCGUAAAGCGUCUGUAGGUGGUAAGGAAAGUGUAAUGUUAAAGAUCAGGGCUCAACCCUGGGAAAGCAUUGCAAACUAUCUUACUUGAGUUCGGUAGGGGCAGAGAGAAUUCCCAGUGUAGCGGUGAAAUGCGUAGAUAUUGGGAGGAAGACCGGUGGCGAAGGCGUUCUGCUGGGCCGUAACUGACACUCAGAGACGAAAGCUAAGGUAGCAAAUAGGAUUAGAUACCCUAGUAGUCUUAGCUGUAAACGAUGCACACUAUGUUUUGCAAUUUGCAGAGCAAUAGCUAACGCGUUAAGUGUGCCGCCUGGGGAGUACAUUCGCAAGGAUGAAACUCAAAGGAAUUGACGGGGACCCGCACAAGCGGUGGAGCAUGUGGUUUAAUUCGAUGCAACGCGAAGAACCUUACCAAGAAUUGACAUGCUGCGAACGUUUACGAAAGUAAAAAGUCUAUUAACUUAGUUAAUAGCGCAGACACAGGUGGUGCAUGGUUGUCGUCAGCUCGUGCCGUGAGGUGUUAGGUUAAGUCCUGCAACGAGCGCAACCCUUGUCUUUAGUUAUAUUCUAGAGAGACUGCCGGUGACAAACCGGAGGAAGGUGAGGAUGACGUCAAAUCAGCAUGCCCCUUACAUCUUGGGCGACUCACGUGCUACAAUGGUCGGGACAAAGAGAUGCUACCCUGCGAAGGCAAGCUAACCUCAAAAACCCGAUCUCAGUUCGGAUUGCAGGCUGC